RNAcentral lists this ribosomal RNA (538 nucleotides) under uncultured Geobacillus sp. RNAcentral's name for it is "bacterial SSU rRNA". It matches the Rfam family "Bacterial small subunit ribosomal RNA", at positions 355 to 885 of the family's 1533-position model. The record is from RNAcentral. Lineage: Bacteria; Bacillati; Bacillota; Bacilli; Caryophanales; Anoxybacillaceae.
UAGGGAAUCUUCCGCAAUGGCGAAAGCUGACGGAGCGACGCCGCGUGAGCGAAGAAGGCCUUCGGGUCGUAAAGCUCUGUUGUGAGGGACGAAGGGGCGCCGUUCGAAGAGGGCGGCGCCUUGACGGUACCGCACGAGGAAGCCCCGGCUAACUACGUGCCAGCAGCCGCGGUAAUACGUAGGGGGCGAGCGUUGUCCAGAAUUAUUGGGCGUAAAGCGCGCGCAGGCGGUCCCUUAAGUCUGAUGUGAAAGCCCACGGCUCAACCGUGGAGGGUCAUUGGAAACUGGGGGACUUGAGUGCAGGAGAGGAGAGCGGAAUUCCACGUGUAGCGGUGAAAUGCGUAGAGAUGUGGAGGAACACCAGUGGCGAAGGCGGCUCUCUGGCCUGCAACUGGCGCUGAGGCGCGAAAGCGUGGGGAGCAAACAGGAUUAGAUACCCUGGUAGUCCAUGCCGUAAACGAUGAGUGCUAAGUGUUAGAGGGGUCACACCCUUUAGUGCUGCAGCUAACGCGAUAAGCACUCCGCCUGGGGAGUACGG